Molecule: unclassified non-coding RNA, 546 nt
Filed under: Hevea brasiliensis (rubber tree)
Lineage: Eukaryota; Viridiplantae; Streptophyta; Magnoliopsida; Malpighiales; Euphorbiaceae
Source: RNAcentral
AGUUCACUCUCAAUAGAAGAAUAAUUAGAUGGGUUAAGUAGAAGCUCAUGGGCCUGGUGGUCCUCAUCACCAUUAUAUGUUUCAAACAUUGGAAGGUACCCUUUGUAAGCAAAACCUAGACAACGUAAUGCAUUGGUUGACAUGUCAUGAAGGCUUUGUAAAAUAAGCUCUCUUGAAUAUUGANNAACUGAGCCAUCAAGCAGCUGAACAUAUGAGCUUCUCUCCAAUACGUUUUCUACUGCACCCUUCACUAGCAGUGAUUUUUUUCCUGUGCUGGAUUUAACAAUAACUCCCAUGGAUUUCCGAUACCGAUCGAACUCAAGAGUUGCAAUGCGCUGAUCCAUUUUAUUCCAUAGUUGACUGACAGCAACGUAGAACAUCCCCAUGACAUGAAGAUGAUUCAUUAAGUCCACCAGUAAAUCCCAUUUUCUCAACAAGUACCUUUAAGGCAGCCUCUGUAGGCAUUCCACUAGCAAUAUAAUGGUGACCAGAUCGCUCCACACCUGCAUCAUUGCAGACUGCAGCAAUCUUUGCGAUCAUCUGAAG